GCCUGGGUGGCUCAGUCAGUUAAGCAUCUGACUUCGGCUCAGGUCAUGAUCUCGCGGUCCGUGAGUUCGAGCCCCACGUCAGGCU
RNAcentral lists this transfer RNA (85 nucleotides) under Felis catus (domestic cat). It matches the Rfam family "tRNA". Rfam says of the family: Transfer RNA (tRNA) molecules are approximately 80 nucleotides in length. Their secondary structure includes four short double-helical elements and three loops (D, anti-codon, and T loops). The record is from Rfam by way of RNAcentral. RNAcentral also lists the same sequence under 4 other names. Lineage: Eukaryota; Metazoa; Chordata; Mammalia; Carnivora; Felidae.